RNAcentral lists this ribosomal RNA (800 nucleotides) under uncultured bacterium. RNAcentral describes it as "bacterial SSU rRNA". It matches the Rfam family "Bacterial small subunit ribosomal RNA", at positions 8 to 802 of the family's 1533-position model. The record is from RNAcentral.
AGAGUUUGAUCCUGGCUCAGAACGAACGCUGGCGGCGCGCCUAAUACAUGCAAGUCGAGCGAGAAGGUGUAGCAAUACACUUGUAAAGCGGCGAACGGGUGAGGAAUACAUGGGUAAUCUACCAUCGAGUGGGGAAUAACCAACCGAAAGGUUGGCUAAUACCGCGUACGCCUCCGAGUCUUCGGGUUCGGAGGGAAAGCUGCACUGUGAGUGUAGCGCUCUUUGAUGAGCUCAUGUCCUAUCAGCUUGCUGGUAGGGUAACGGCCUACCAAGGCUUUGACGGGUAGCUGGUCUGAGAGGACGAUCAGCCACACUGGCACUGCGACACGGGCCAGACUCCUACGGGAGGCAGCAGUAAGGAAUAUUGCGCAAUGGGCGAAAGCCUGACGCAGCGACGCCGCGUGGGGGAUGAAGGUCUUCGGAUUGUAAACCCCUUUCGGGAGGGAAGAUGGAGCGAGCAAUCGUUCGGACGGUACCUCCAGAAGCAGCCACGGCCAACUUCGUGCCAGCAGCCGCGGUAAUACGAAGGUGGCAAGCGUUGUUCGGAUUCACUGGGCGUACAGGGUGUGUAGGCGGUUUGGUAAGCCUUCUGUUAAAGCUUCGGGCCCAACCCGGAAAGCGCAGAGGGUACUGCCAGGCUAGAGGGUGGGAGAGGAGCGCGGAAUUCCCGGUGUAGCGGUGAAAUGCGUAGAGAUCGGGAGGAAGGCCGGUGGCGAAGGCGGCGCUCUGGAACAUACCUGACGCUGAGACACGAAAGCGUGGGGAGCAAACAGGAUUAGAUACCCUGGUAGUCCACGCCC